Molecule: ribosomal RNA, 63 nt
Filed under: Cordyceps militaris
Lineage: Eukaryota; Fungi; Ascomycota; Sordariomycetes; Hypocreales; Cordycipitaceae
Also listed under: 1 other name
Description: partial 28S ribosomal RNA
Rfam family: Eukaryotic large subunit ribosomal RNA
Source: RNAcentral
GUUGACCUCGGAUCAGGUAGGAAUACCCGCUGAACUUAAGCAUAUCAAUAAGCGGAGGAAAAG